CGUUUGUUUUUGUAGCAGUUAAGUAUUUCUGUUGUUCCGUUGUUUUUUCUUUUAUUGUUGAUGUGUUUCUUUUGGUUCAGGUUUGGGACCCAGAUUUGUUUUCGAGUAUUCGAUUUAUGAUUUUUAAACAGCGAUAUACUACUGUUGCCUCUUUUACUUAAUAUGUACGUUUUUCUGUUGAUGUAUUUGCCUCGUGUUUAAAAG
This 204-nucleotide long non-coding RNA is filed under the name Mytilus galloprovincialis (Mediterranean mussel). Lineage: Eukaryota; Metazoa; Mollusca; Bivalvia; Mytilida; Mytilidae. The record is from RNAcentral.